Molecule: long non-coding RNA, 1961 nt
Organism: Lycium ferocissimum
Lineage: Eukaryota; Viridiplantae; Streptophyta; Magnoliopsida; Solanales; Solanaceae
Exons: 4
Source: RefSeq, a predicted model, not a curated record
UGUGGGUAAGCUCAUUUACUGUCUAAUCGUGUUUAUAUCAUAGAAAUUCUAAGAUAUGAAGCUCAGCAGGCAGAUGGCCAGCCAUAGUAUUGGUUAACAUGUUAGACUAACAGUCAAGUGUAUUCAUUAAAUUCAUAGGAUAUAAUGGAUUUCGAUCAUAUGCAUGUAAAUUGUUGUGUGAUUAUUUUAGCAACUCAGCCAUUUAUCUUUGAAGAGUCUGCAAAUAUUUCUUAAAUCUCAAGCACUAAGGAGUACAUGCUAUCCAAUUAAGUACACAAACUUUGAGUAAGCUUUAUUUUGAACAAAAAGAUGCAGUGGAAAUAACUGAAAGUUGACUUCAUCCUAGAAUGAUCGUACUCAAACUUUUCCAUCAUAUAACUGUUGUUGAUAGUAAUUGUAAGACUAUUUUCCUCCUUUUACCAUAAGGUAGCUGUUACCUGAUUAAAUCUUCUUUCUCUUUGCCUCAUUCUUUCUCCAUACUUCCCUAAUCCUUUUUGCUCUUUCAUUGUAGGAUAGAUAUUAGGGCUACCAUUCUUUAAGAUCGCUGGUAUAGAGAAGAAGAGUUGUUUAAUUGGAGUCUCGAGAGGAAAUGGAACUAGAAAGCUCAACGAAAGGGAUAAGCUGUAUGAAUUUUCAGAAUAUCCUUAUCCACGAAUGGAAAGAACUAAAAGACCGCUAUCAUACACAGCAAGCUGGCAAUUUAAGUCCCAGGGGAUGGAAAAACUUCGCCCUUAAAGCUGAUAGAUGCAUUAGUAAUGAGUAGAAAGACAUUGCACAAUUCUUUGCUCCUUAACUUGUCAAAGCUGAGGAAACCUCAUUCAAUUGAUUCUAUAGCUUUGAAGAUGUAUUGGAAGUUUAUGAACAAGGAGCUCCGGGUUUUCUUAAGCAUCCAAUGCAACACGUUGUGAGAGUAGUUUCUGCUGCAACAGGAAAGAAAGCUGGAUGAGGGAUUGAAAACAUUGAGGAACUUAUAAUAUGCCUUCAGCUAAGAAGCUUCUUGAAAUCCUAUUAGCUGGCGUUGGUAGUUGUAGAAGAACUGAGGAUGGGGCCUAAAGUAAUCAAGAAGCUGGAGACUUCAUCUUUAUGCAAGGAGAUGAAGGCGAGUAAUUACAUUUUGGAUGGACUCAACAACACUGCCCAAAUAAUUGCAUAGCUUCGGGUGUUAAAAUGUGACACACAGUUCAUAUGGAGCCAAAUCCUUCUACCAUGGCAAUAGAUGUAGUUAUUCCUCCACUCAAGCUGAAAAGAUCACGACUGCUUGACCGUUAUAAGGUACUUUAAGCCAAAAAUGUAUCCCUUUUCUUGUAACAAUGAUUGUUAUAUUUUUCUAUCUCACUAGUUACUGAAUAGUAACUACUUACUAAAUUAUAAUUUUGAAGUCAAAAGAGUUAAGAAACAUAUUAGGAUGAACUUUAAAAAGCCAGCUUUCUAUAUUUUAGAGCUUUUGAGAUUGAAAAAGAGAACAUUUUCUUUUGAGCAUUAGUGAUGGUUUAGGUGAUAGAAGAGAAAUUAAAGGAAAAAAAUUUAAAAAAAUUACUUCUUCUCUAACUGAGUGCUCUUUUGUGGAAGAAAGUGAACACUCUUCUUUAAUUGAGUCCGUUACUUCAUCUACGGUUUGUAGCGUACGCAAGAUGGGAAAGAAAACCAAUUCAACUCUUUGUCGGGAAAUGAGUUUCAUAAGCAUAAAAUUCCUCGGUAGUUCUUCUUUUGAGAAGACAUAGAGCACAUGUGGAUGUUGCGGACAAAAAAUGAUGCAUGGUACUUGAACAAGCUUCAGAUGAGGUGCACUCAAAUUUGUGAAGUUGGAGUUCAAAUUUGUGAAGUUGGCAUUCAAAUUUGUGAAGUUGGCUGCUCUUGAUGCUUCUUUAGUUCCUUGGUAAUUCUUUUGGUAAUCUAAUAGGCUGGUUAGUGUUAGAAUUAACUUUGAGAUGAAUGUUAUGAUUUUCCUUUGUGGAAAAGAG